Molecule: ribosomal RNA, 492 nt
Filed under: uncultured bacterium
Lineage: Bacteria
Description: partial 16S ribosomal RNA
Rfam family: Bacterial small subunit ribosomal RNA
Source: RNAcentral
AGUGAACGCUGGCGGUAGGCUUAACACAUGCAAGUCGAACGGCAGCACAGUAAGAGCUUGCUCUUACGGGUUGCGAGUGGCGGACGGGUGAGGAAUACAUCGGACUCUACUUUUUCGUGGGGGAUAACGUAGGGAAACUUACGCUAAUACCGCAUCCGACCUACGGUUGAAAGCAGGAGGUCUUCGGACCUUGCGCGAUUGAAUGAGCCGAUGUUGGAUUAGCUAGUUGGCGGGGUAAAGGCCCACCAAGCCGACGAUCCGUAGCUGGUCUGAGAGGAUGAUCAGCCACAUUAGAACUGAGACACGGUCCAGACUCCUACGAGAGGGAGCAGUGGGGAAUAUUGGGCAAUGGGCGCAAGCCUGAUACAGCCAGACCGCGUGGGAGAAGAAGGCCUUCGGGUUGUAAAGCCCUUUUGUUGGGAAAGAAAAGCAGCAGGUUAAUACCCCGCUGUUCUGACGGUACCCAAAGAAUAAGCACCGGCUAACUUCGUG